GGUUGACCUCGGAUCAGGUAGGGAUACCCGCUGAACUUAAGCAUAUCAAUAAGCGGAGGAAAAGAAACCAACAGGGAUUGCCUCAGUAACGGCGAGUGAAGCGGCAAGAGCUCAAAUUUGAAAGCUGGCCCCCUCGGGGUCCGCGUUGUAAUUUGCAGAGGAUGCUUCGGGUGCAGCCCCCGUCUAAGUGCCCUGGAACGGGCCGUCAUAGAGGGUGAGAAUCCCGUCUGGGACGGGGUGUCUGCGUCCGUGUGAAGCUCCUUCGACGAGUCGAGUUGUUUGGGAAUGCAGCUCUAAAUGGGUGGUAAAUUUCAUCUAAAGCUAAAUACUGGCCGGAGACCGAUAGCGCACAAGUAGAGUGAUCGAAAGAUGAAAAGCACUUUGAAAAGAGAGUUAAACAGCACGUGAAAUUGUUGAAAGGGAAGCGUUUGCGACCAGACUCGCCCGCGGGGUUCAGCCGGCAUUCGUGCCGGUGUACUUCCCCGUGGGCGGGCCAGCGUCGGUUUGGGCGGCCGGUCAAAGGCCCUCGGAAUGUAUCACCUCUCGGGGUGUCUUAUAGCCGAGGGUGCAAUGCGGCCUGCCCGGACCGAGGAACGCGCUUCGGCUCGGACGCUGGCGUAAUGGUCGCAAAUGACC
RNAcentral lists this ribosomal RNA (636 nucleotides) under Aspergillus fischeri. RNAcentral describes it as "eukaryotic LSU rRNA". It matches the Rfam family "Eukaryotic large subunit ribosomal RNA", at positions 1 to 649 of the family's 3401-position model. The record is from RNAcentral. Lineage: Eukaryota; Fungi; Ascomycota; Eurotiomycetes; Eurotiales; Aspergillaceae.